This 331-nucleotide unclassified non-coding RNA is filed under the name Athalia rosae (coleseed sawfly). RNAcentral's name for it is "misc RNA ENSAEAG00005003559.1". Lineage: Eukaryota; Metazoa; Arthropoda; Insecta; Hymenoptera; Athaliidae. The record is from RNAcentral.
AAUUGAUGCAAAAUACCUGCGAGUCAGGGGUUUUAUUUUCAUGUGUCGCGACGGUAUACAAGGACGUGAGAAUGAAUCGUUGCAAAAGCCACUUGUAAUAAUACGACGAGACAUAAUAUUAUAAGCGUGAAUUAUGUGGUCGAAGAAUCCAACGAGUAGCACACACGAGGGAUUUGCUGCAGCGGCAGAAAGCGAUGAGGCGAUGAACGACCGACGUCUCUUCCUCUGCGCAAAUGUGAAUAUGAAACGGAAACUCUUCCGCAAAUAUCGAACCGAAGGAGAGAACCUAAUAAUCGUUGAAUGAAUUUCCAACACCUGCACAACUGUACAU